Non-coding RNA from Vicia faba (fava bean), 297 nucleotides. The record is from the annotation of a GenBank genome assembly. Lineage: Eukaryota; Viridiplantae; Streptophyta; Magnoliopsida; Fabales; Fabaceae.
AUGAUUCAUGAACGACAAAUCGAGAAUGGCGAGGGCAUUGAAGCCUGGAUCCGCGGUGUUGUAAGAAUCGAAUGGAAACAACGUCAAAGGUUAACAAAAGUUGAUGAUAAACUAUGGAGGAUAAAGUGUUUUGAUGGUGGUGUAUCGUCGAAGGUUCACCGGAGAAGUUUGCAGCGAUGCUGCGUGAUUAAGUUGAAUCAAACACCAGAAGCAAUAACGACAUCGUAUCUUAAAGUUGUUGAUGGAUACGACUUGGAUCAGAGGUGGAAACUUGAAUACGACGGAGAUCGAUGGUGA